Molecule: ribosomal RNA, 254 nt
Filed under: uncultured bacterium
Lineage: Bacteria
Description: partial 16S ribosomal RNA
Rfam family: Bacterial small subunit ribosomal RNA
Source: RNAcentral
UACGUAGGUGGCAAGCGUUGUCCGGAUUUAUUGGGUUUAAAGGGUGCGUAGGCGGCCUUGUAAGUCAGUGCUGAAAUAUCCCGGCUUAACCGGGAGGGUGGCAUUGAUACUGCAGGGCUUGAGUAAAGUUGAGGUUGGCGGAAUUGACGGUGUAGCGGUGAAAUGCUUAGAUAUCGUCAAGAACACCGAUAGUGAAGACAGCUAACUAAGCUUUAACUGACGCUGAGGCACGAAAGUGUGGGGAUCAAAACAGG